UGGGGAAUAUUGGACAAUGGAGGAAACUCUGAUCCAGCAAUUCUGUGUGUGUGAAGAAGGUUUUAGGACUGUAAAACACUUUUAGUAGGGAAGAAAAAAAUGACGGUACCUACAGAAGAAGCAACGGCUAAAUACGUGCCAGCAGCCGCGGUAAUACGUAUGUUGCGAGCGUUAUCCGGAAUUAUUGGGCUUAAAGGGCAUCUAGGCGGUAAGACAAGUUGAAGGUGAAAACCUGUGGCUCAACCAUAGGCUUGCCUACAAAACUGUUGAACUAGAGUACUGGAAAGGUGGGUGGAACUACACGAGUAGAGGUGAAAUUCAUAGAUAUGUGUAGGAAUGCCGAUGAUGAAGAUAACUCACUGGACAGAAACUGACGCUGAAGUGCGAAAGCUAGGGGAGCAAACAGG
This 407-nucleotide ribosomal RNA is filed under the name Verrucomicrobiota bacterium. RNAcentral's name for it is "Verrucomicrobia bacterium partial 16S ribosomal RNA". It matches the Rfam family "Bacterial small subunit ribosomal RNA", at positions 355 to 776 of the family's 1533-position model. Lineage: Bacteria; Pseudomonadati; Verrucomicrobiota. The record is from RNAcentral.